UAAUACGGAGGGGGCUAGCGUUGUUCGGAAUUACUGGGCGUAAAGCGCACGUAGGCGGACUGGAAAGUUGGGGGUGAAAUCCCGGGGCUCAACCCCGGAACUGCCUUCAAAACUCCCAGUCUGGAGUUCGAGAGAGGUGAGUGGAAUUCCGAGUGUAGAGGUGAAAUUCGUAGAUAUUCGGAGGAACACCAGUGGCGAAGGCGGCUCACUGGCUCGAUACUGACGCUGAGGUGCGAAAGCGUGGGGAGCAAACAGG
RNAcentral lists this ribosomal RNA (256 nucleotides) under uncultured bacterium. Its description in RNAcentral is "partial 16S ribosomal RNA". It matches the Rfam family "Bacterial small subunit ribosomal RNA", at positions 521 to 776 of the family's 1533-position model. The record is from RNAcentral.